UCAACUUCUAUCAUGAGAAGAGAACCAGAAUGAGUAGUGAUCUUUUUCAUCAAGUAAUCACACACAAGUUCUUCAUCUUUUGGGUGGAAUCUAAACCCUGGAGCCAACUUUGACUCCACCAUACUUAUGUUGCUCAUUUUUCUCUCUAUCUACUUUCAACAAAGCUCUGAAAGAGAGAGAAUCUAUAGGAAAUGGAACCAAGUAUAUAAGAAAACACAGAAGGAAAUGAAACUAAUUUGGAAGAGAGAGAGAGA
This 254-nucleotide unclassified non-coding RNA is filed under the name Hevea brasiliensis (rubber tree). The record is from RNAcentral. Lineage: Eukaryota; Viridiplantae; Streptophyta; Magnoliopsida; Malpighiales; Euphorbiaceae.